CAGUCGCCGCGGGAAUACGAAGGGUGCAAGCGUUAAUCGGAAUUACUGGGCGUAAAGCGUGCGUAGGCGGUUUGUUAAGUCUGUUGUGAAAUCCCCGGGCUCAACCUGGGAAUGGCAAUGGAUACUGGCAAGCUAGAGUGUGUCAGAGGAUGGUGGAAUUCCCGGUGUAGCGGUGAAAUGCGUAGAGAUCGGGAGGAACAUCAGUGGCGAAGGCGGCCAUCUGGGACAACACUGACGCUGAGGCACGAAAGCGUGGGGAGCAAACAGGAUUAGAUACCCCCGUAGUCCCUGUCUCUUAUAC
RNAcentral lists this ribosomal RNA (301 nucleotides) under uncultured bacterium. Its description in RNAcentral is "partial 16S ribosomal RNA". It matches the Rfam family "Bacterial small subunit ribosomal RNA", at positions 509 to 807 of the family's 1533-position model. The record is from RNAcentral.